AAAGCGCGUUAGCUACUGCGAACUGCAGGAUUACUUGAGCAGCAAGAGCUUGAACGCAAAUUGCGGCUUCGGGUACUCCCGGAGUCACGUUCGCCUGAGGGUCGAAUUAUCUAACUACAACCAUGCAUUGGUGGUUAUUGAAAUGGCUUUGCCAACAGCAAUGUUUGCGAGCUUAAGAUGAUUUAACAUUGAUCAAACAUGACACCGAAUGUGUUGCUUUGAUUUCAAUUGUUUCAAACUAUCUAUUUCCAUCAUCGACCUCAGACGAGCGAGAUUGCCCGCUGAAUUUAA
This 291-nucleotide unclassified non-coding RNA is filed under the name uncultured fungus. RNAcentral describes it as "sequence contains ITS1". The stretch from base 1 to 104 matches the Rfam family "5.8S ribosomal RNA", at positions 50 to 154 of the family's 154-position model. Lineage: Eukaryota; Fungi. The record is from RNAcentral.